CCAGCUACGGUGUGGUCAGUGGGAGUGACCCUCUUCAACAUCCUGUGCAACCGUUUCCCCUUCGGAGGCUCACUGAGGGUCACGUCCAGGAGCAAACUGACCUUCCCCAUAACUCUGUCAACAGAGGCAGUAGACGCAGAUGGAGAAGAGGAGAACACACACCGAACACACACUGAACAGCAGAUUCCAGCAGAAAACACACUCUGAUGCAGGUGAUGUGGAGGUGCUGUUAAACCGUUCAGCACAAGGAGACUCUUGCUCUAAAAUGAACAACAGGCCAUUAUUAAAGUGAAUAUAUAUUUAGUUAUUAUAUUCAUUUUAUUUUAUCUUUACUGAUUACACACAAUAAUGAAAAAUAUGAGUUUAACACGGAUGAAUUUGCUAAAAGUGGUUGGAAAAUCAGAAGUUAAAGAUUCUAAUAUUAAAUACACUAUAAAUCAUCGUUUUACAAAAUAUAAUGAAUUUGCUGUUAAUUUAAUUUAAAGUAUUAUUAGAAACUAAGAUACACUUUAAAAACUAAUUAUAAACACUUAUUUUACUAAUAUACUUUAUUAAAUAUACAUUAUUUCUGUAUUUGAAGUCGGACUAUGGCUGCAGGAUUGUGUUGCUUAAUUAUUUGCAGGACUUUGCAUUAAUUAUCGAUAAAAUUCAUUCAAAUAAUAUUAAAAUAAUAAAACUUUAGGUAAACAUGUAAACUUAUCAUUAAAGCACAGCUAUAUUAUGAAGAGAUAAACUAUAAUUGACACUAAUAUUAGCUGUAAUCCAUAAUCAUCAAAAUGAACUGAAAUAAACACUUGAAAUAAAUUAUUCUGAGUGUAAUGAAUGAUUAAAUAAUUCCCCAGCACGGUUUAAUUGAGAAAAUAUCUUUUGCAACACAUUUUUAAACAUAAUAUGUUAAAUAAAUAAUCUCUAAUAACUCAUGACACAAUAUUUUAAUAGUUAUUUUACAAGACACUAGUAUUCAGCCUAAAGUGCAGUUUAAAGGCUUAACUGGGUUAAUUAGGUUAACUAAAGUUAGUUUAAUUUAGGCAAAUCAUAGGACAACAGUGUUUGGUUCUGUAGCCAAAAAAAAAAAAAAAAAAAUCUUACAGGGCUAAUAAUAAUGUGCUUAAUUUUUUGUUUGUUUUUAUCAAAAACUGUUUUCACUUCAGCCAAACUGAAAAAUAAACUUCACUGAUCUGAUAAGAUCUCUUAGAUCAUUGUCACAAAGCACAGAUUUUCCAUUAGGCUUUCUUUAGUCUUGUGUAUUGAUUAAUGU
This is a non-coding RNA of Danio rerio (zebrafish), 1258 nucleotides long. Lineage: Eukaryota; Metazoa; Chordata; Actinopteri; Cypriniformes; Danionidae. The record is from RefSeq and is a predicted model, not a curated record.